Molecule: ribosomal RNA, 905 nt
Filed under: Escherichia coli
Lineage: Bacteria; Pseudomonadati; Pseudomonadota; Gammaproteobacteria; Enterobacterales; Enterobacteriaceae
Description: partial 23S ribosomal RNA
Rfam family: Bacterial large subunit ribosomal RNA
Source: RNAcentral
GCGACUUAUAUUCUGUAGCAAGGUUAACCGAAUAGGGGAGCCGAAGGGAAACCGAGUCUUAACUGGGCGUUAAGUUGCAGGGUAUAGACCCGAAACCCGGUGAUCUAGCCAUGGGCAGGUUGAAGGUUGGGUAACACUAACUGGAGGACCGAACCGACUAAUGUUGAAAAAUUAGCGGAUGACUUGUGGCUGGGGGUGAAAGGCCAAUCAAACCGGGAGAUAGCUGGUUCUCCCCGAAAGCUAUUUAGGUAGCGCCUCGUGAAUUCAUCUCCGGGGGUAGAGCACUGUUUCGGCAAGGGGGUCAUCCCGACUUACCAACCCGAUGCAAACUGCGAAUACCGGAGAAUGUUAUCACGGGAGACACACGGCGGGUGCUAACGUCCGUCGUGAAGAGGGAAACAACCCAGACCGCCAGCUAAGGUCCCAAAGUCAUGGUUAAGUGGGAAACGAUGUGGGAAGGCCCAGACAGCCAGGAUGUUGGCUUAGAAGCAGCCAUCAUUUAAAGAAAGCGUAAUAGCUCACUGGUCGAGUCGGCCUGCGCGGAAGAUGUAACGGGGCUAAACCAUGCACCGAAGCUGCGGCAGCGACACUAUGUGUUGUUGGGUAGGGGAGCGUUCUGUAAGCCUGUGAAGGUGUACUGUGAGGUAUGCUGGAGGUAUCAGAAGUGCGAAUGCUGACAUAAGUAACGAUAAAGCGGGUGAAAAGCCCGCUCGCCGGAAGACCAAGGGUUCCUGUCCAACGUUAAUCGGGGCAGGGUGAGUCGACCCCUAAGGCGAGGCCGAAAGGCGUAGUCGAUGGGAAACAGGUUAAUAUUCCUGUACUUGGUGUUACUGCGAAGGGGGGACGGAGAAGGCUAUGUUGGCCGGGCGACGGUUGUCCCGGUUUAAGCGUGUAGGCUGGUUUUC